Molecule: long non-coding RNA, 783 nt
Organism: Gigantopelta aegis
Lineage: Eukaryota; Metazoa; Mollusca; Gastropoda; Neomphalida; Peltospiridae
Exons: 2
Source: RefSeq, a predicted model, not a curated record
GACAAAUAACCCAAAAUAAACCCAUCGACAGGGAUCGAUUCUAGACCGACGGCGCAUCAGGCGAGCGCUUUACCACUGGACUACGACCAGCCCCACCUUUUCGUUUUUAAGCACAGGGCUUAAAUGUGGAUAAAACAUUUUGCUUCAAAAAGAGUAAUAUUCGUAUUUCAGUCCAGAACGUAAAUAGUACACGCAAAUUUUAAACGGUGCUCCCCAAUGUGAAUGGAAAACAAAACUACAAUCAAGUGACGUCGCACGUCCUCGACCAAUAAGCGUUGAGUUUACUUUAAAAUAAAGAGCUUUAUAGACGCGUCUGUUGUCAGGGGGACGUCACUCAGGUUUGCGCUUCAAGAUGUCCCGAUCUACUGCUAUCUUCAUGGUGAUCUUGAUAAUGGCUGUCUGCUAUACCACAGCACAGCACCCUUGUAGGACCACCUGUAACAGGUACUACCAGCGCUGUCGAAACGAUCGCAGGUGUGAAUACAGAAGUUACCUCGACAAGUUCGCUUGCACUAGGAAGUGCAGCGGUGAGGCUAGAAGGUGUGAGAUUAGAUGCGAUCGAGACCUUCGGAAGAGAAGUGUAGGCGGCCAAUAGCUUAAAGACAUUCUGCCGUUUCUUUUUGGUGUUUUGUGAGUGUUUGUUUCGAUGAGCAAAAAGAAACAGUCUGAAAGGAUGCCAAGCCACAUCUUCUCCGACAGACGUAAUAUUGUUGAAGACUCGCUUCAUUUUCAGUUCCAGAAGGACAUGCUAUUUUUAAUAAAUAAAUAAGUUGUUAUUUAGUA